This 5421-nucleotide long non-coding RNA is filed under the name Sus scrofa (pig). RNAcentral's name for it is "lncRNA (ENSSSCG00000052070.1)". The record is from RNAcentral. Lineage: Eukaryota; Metazoa; Chordata; Mammalia; Artiodactyla; Suidae.
UUUUUUUUUUUUUUGAUCACUGUUAUAUUACUGAUACCUAGGAGGGUGUCUGUCUCAAGGGCGGAGAGAAAGGAGUAUUUAUUAAGUUUAUGAGUAAGUGCCUGGAAUAGAGCAGAGAGGACUGUUUGGUGCUCCCACUGGGAAAGAGUCUCUUCCAAUCCUUGGCUGGGAUCUUUGGAACCAAAGCUCAGUAGGGCAGCAAGUACCUAGGUUAGUACCCAUGCCUAGUAAGGCUCCAAUAAACACCUGAUUUCAACUAAGCUCCCUUGUGAUUUAAAAAUGUCAGUACUUCAUGAGACAUUUCCUCCUAAAGCCAUGCCCUUCCCAGUCAAGGGGAGUUUGGGGAUCAUGUUUUGUCAAGAAAAACAAUCCCCAUAUACGUCCCCCAAAAGGCUGGUAAAAUCUUCUUUAAAAAUGUCAUUUCUGGGGCAGACGGCUUUUGGCCACACAUUGGAAUAAGAUUUUGGGGCCGUGGGGCUCUCUCCUCCCCGUCUCCCUGAGGUCCCCCCUCCCUCCAGAAAGAGCGCUUGGUGUAAGCCUGGCUGAACAAAGUCAGCUGCCCGCAUAUUAGUAGGAAAGCAGCUGUUGAGCUGUUGCAAGAGCAGUAUCACCAACCCAUAUUAGGGCCGUACAUUCCCGUCUCUGAAGACAAAGAGCGUUUCAGUUCACCUUUGCAUUAUAACAUUUGCACAUUCAUAAAAGGGAAGAGGAGAAGGUAUUUCAAACCAAGAGUUGGAGCCCUUCAGAGGAGACUUUGAAUUGGGGUUCAGCCCGCUGACCCUAGAAGGAAGGGUAACAGAGCCAAGGCCUCAUUACCCUGUCUUUGAAAAGCUUUGGGCGUAUUUGCUUGUUUUAAGCGACGUUAUCGGUCAGGUAGCAAUUCAUGGGACUUGCAUGCGUGGGACCAGCUCUGAGGGUGCUCGGAGCCGGCUGAGCGCCUCUGUUCUCUAGUCCCGAGAGGCGUCUGUGUGAUUCCCUCUCCCUGUGCCUCCAUCUCGCUCUCAUCCUGCCGGCUCUAGGUUCUAGUCCCCCUGAUUCCCCCUUUCGUCUCGAAUACCCAUUCAUCUGGCCUUCUGUGAAAUACAGACCUGCGCCCUUCCCCCGCUCCGGUGUGAACACUCGUGCAUGCUUGGUGAGUGUGUGCACGUGAGUGUACACGUGUGUUCUGUCUGUUUCAACAAAUCACGAAGUUGUCGAGACUAGAGAGGAGGUAUCGAGCAUUGAGCCAUCUCGCAGCCUCAGUGCUGCGUGCAGAGUCCGCCUCCGUGAAGUCUCCCUGGGCAGGGGGUGCAGGUGGCAGAGGGUGCUGUGCGGUGCUCGUGGUGACGAGUCUCAGCUUUGCCGCCUGGAUCUGCUGCCCGCUCCUGUGCGGCUUUCGCCGGGUGGGAAAUAAGACGUUUUCCCCAAGGCGGCAGGGUUGGGGGGGAAGGGAUGGAGAGAUGAUACAGGUUGUUGUGACCAGUUUAGAGCUCAGCAAAUAGUCACUUCUUCCUAAAUGUUGCCUUUAAAGUGAGUAUAAAUUCGGUGAUGGAUUAUGUAUGGUUAUUGUGGAGCGAGAUGGGGCUGACGCUACCCAUGUGGCAGAAACUAAAACAAACACAGAAGCUUUCUACUUUCAGGGAGUUCCCUUCGUGGGUCAGUGGUUAAUGAACCUAAGAUCCAUGAGGAUGUGGGUUCGGUCCCUGGCCUCGCUCACUGGGUUAAGGAUCUGGUGUUGCCGUGAGCUGUGGUGUAGGUCGCGGACAUGGCUGAGAUCCCGAGUUGCUGUGGCUGUGGUCCAUCCCCUGUGUUAACAGAUGGGAGUUCGUUGCUUUGUUUCUGGGACUGAUGGCUCCUUCAGCUGCAGUAAGUGGAUUCUGCUGGGCCCAGGCGGUACCUUGAUUCUGCAGGGACGGCUCGUCCACUGCCCCCUGCUCUUGGAACCUGCAGCUAAACCUCCUUUCCAGCACUUACGUGCCCUAUGGCCAAAUGGCUGCAAGUUGCCCAGUGGAACAGACCAGCAGCCUGCCCCUUCCCGCAGCGCCUGCAAAGACCCUGCACAGCUCUUCAGCUGCUGUUUCCCUCCCACGGGCUGCAGAUGGCGGCUGUGCACGCGGGGAUGGUGGAGCAAAGAGACGGCAGGGAGCCUGAUGCUGUGGAUGCCCAGCCCAGAGCUGCUUCCCCAACCUGAACAAAGGCCCCGGACUCUCAGGUGAAAAAAGUGAACUUCCUUCUCAUCGGCCACUAAAAGUUUAAGACCUCUUUGCUACUGCAAAGCAGCCUCCUCUAUAAUUCUAAUAUACGCCUCUUACCCCACCCUCCACAUUCUCAGGCCUAAAAGUUACUGUGUGAUUUUAAACACUCUGUGAGUGUUAGCUUUUAAUACCCUUUCUAGAAGCAGCAAAUGAAGGUCCUGGUAGACCUGCUGGUAUCUCCAGACCUGUUGGUUCCAAGGUCAAAAACACCAUACCUGCUUUUUCUUAUGUUUUUUUAAGUAGUAAGGAUAGAAAUGUCCACACACUAUGGAUAAUUUAUAUGUUCUAUUCUGAACAUUCUUUGUCGUACAACUUGCUAACUUUCUAUUGCGCUUGUAUCUAAUUCUUUGGCAAUCUGCGAAGCUUUUUACCUAUUUUUACACAUAAUCAUUAUCAUCCCUUUGUUAUAUUUUGCUGGUUCUGACAACAAAUACUUAAUGGAAUGUAGGCAUUAAGUUGACCAAUAUCUUCUUUAGAGAGUCUUCUUUUGAUUUUCUGUUUUAAAAGUCACUCCCAACCCUAGAUUAGAUAUGCACUGAACCUGUUAAAAGUCGUGAGUCUGCUUGUGCCCACUAGACACAAUACUUGCUAUUCGGGCUCUCAUGCCACCUUGUAUUCCAGUGUAUUUAGCACUGAUCUCCAGCAUCUUUUAAAAAUCAGACAACUUUGUCUUACUUAGUCACUUUCCCUUUAUACCUAAUUAAAGCCUUUGGGACCUGAGGAAUAUUUUCCCUCUCUGAUAUGCUAACUCCUAUUCUGCCAGUUUAUCUUGCAUAUCUCUCUAAGUUCUUUGUGUAAUUUAUUAAUGUUCGUACCAGUGCUUUGAAGAUUUCAUUAACGUGCUGUUUACCCCUUCGGAUGCUAUUAGCAAUGAUGAUCCAGUCCAGCAGGAUAGCUACACUGAUCCGCCGUUAUCUGAUGAGCCAGUCAGAACAGCCUAACCUGACACCUUCCUCUCUCCUAUUCAUCCCGUGUUUGCUGUAUUCAGACGUUUCAGAUCUACAUACUCAGCCCAUUUAAAUUAAUUUAGCUAUCGGGAUCUCAGGAGAUGCUCCAUCCCGCACUUCGCUGUGUGUACUAUCAAGACACAGGAUCAAACAAUCAUCUACCACAUUCCCUUUAGCUCGUAUAAUCUUUGUGAGUUCAGCCAAAAAGUUUCCAGUUAGUCUAAUCUGUUUUAUUCUUUGUGAAUCCAGGCUAUUUACUGCCAGGAGCCCUGUUCUCUCAGAGUUGGAUUAUCUCUUAGGAGCAGUCUGGAUGAGUUUUCUUCAUUAGAGGGCUUGGAAGGCAAUACUGAGAAGUCCAGGAGUUUAGCAGGAACCAGCUGAGCAAAGAAGCAUCUCAUUCCAAUAUCAAUCGAUCAAUCAACCAUUCCACAAGUUUUGUCAAAUCCACCGCGCACACAGUCCUGAGUCCUAUGGGGGGGUGUGGACAUAAGGCAGACUGCUUUGGUCAGGGUUCUCUUGGUUGCAAGCCACAGAAGUACACCUCGAGCUAGUUAAAACAGCAAAGGGAAUUUCGUGGAAGUUUCUGAGUUGACUCCUAGGAUUGAAGGAAACAAAGCCAUCGCCAGGAACCAGCAAGCUCAGAAAUGAAGGAAACACCUAUAGCCGCCCCAGCUAUUUCAAGCAGAAAGGAAUUUCAUGCCAGAAACACGAUGAUUAUAAAAGCAGGACGUAUUUCUGUUCGAGUCAGGAAGAUGCAGGUUACAUUGAUAAAUAAAUUAACCUCAAGACCACGGCUGAGUGCAACAAAGUAAUCGCAUGUCCCUCACCACCAGGGCCGAUAACAGGGACUUAGCCUUACACAGUCACGGAGAGACCCAGGCUGACAGCGAUGCACACAUCUCACACCUGUUUCCAUUGCCACAGCAGAGGGCAGACAGUAUGUAGAGUUGCAUGUGGCUUAUCCCUGUUUUAUCCUGGAUGUAACACGUAUUUCUGCUGAUCUCAUUGGCCAGGGCAGGCCACCCAGUCCCACUCCAUUAAAAGGGUGCAAAGAUGUGUGGUUUUCCACGUGGGCAGGAGGCGGGGAGGAGAGAGUGGUGAGCUCUGCUCUAACGGUGUAGAAGCUGAGGCCCCAGGAGGUUAGUUUCCACACAUUUUCACCAUUUAUAUUUGGCAGAACUGGUGUUCAAAUUCAGCUAUUGCUUAAAAGUGUCUGCUGCCCCCAGGAGGCUUCUCCUCGGAGGAGGAGUCUACCUCCAGCCCUUCUGGUGUUGGGCUUGCCUGGGCCAAGGCAGGGCGAGAGGAAAUACCAUGUGCUGCUCCCAAGCGGAAGGUCUGGCGGGCAUCCUGUGAUUUCCUCGCUGUGCUUGUCCAUCGGCUCCAGAGCUGCCGUUUCCCAGACAGAAGCUGUACCUUCAACCCGGAGCGACGGGGAUAUGGAGCAGAGCUUCGGGCAACCUGCAGGCAACAUUUAACACGAGUCAGCUAUAAAUUUAUGUCGCGGUGAGCCCUUGAGAUGGGGGGCUUGUUCAGCAUCUUAGUGUAAACUAGUGAAAUAGAGCUAAAACAGAUUCUGAAGAACGCACAAAAUCCCACCAAAACCUGAGCAGCCCAGCUCCAGAACGGACCGGGCUCUAAGUGGCCUGUUUAGAAUGUUAACCCAAGCCCGUGGACAUACUCGACACGGCCUUGAAAUGAGAAGGAUUCAUAUCGAAAUCCUUCUGAUUACGAGUCUCUGACCGAGACCCAAUUCCUAGGGGAGCGCGUGCGGCCGUCGAACCAGUCCCGGCGUGGGCACAGCCCAUCUGCCCCAUUGCCGUCGAGUUGGUGGCCAGCAGACCAGGGCAGCUGCCAGUCCCACAGGGACCGCGGGGAAGGGGAGGAGGAGGAGUACUUCCCCAGAGCCCAGAGGUCGGCCACAUCCAAAGAGGAGGGAGGAAGCGGCUUUCCCACGAGCCCCGCAGGGAGGCGGUCCUUCUUCAUCACCGGGCGGCGCCUCCCGGCACCCCUCCCAGCCACGUGAGAGCGUCUUGCCUUCCAAAGCAGGCGUCCUGAACGACCUUGGAGAAGCCUUUCGUUUGCCAGCACCCAGUGUCCCGUCCCCUCUGCUCAAAUCAACGGGAAGGAGUAAAGACAAUCGACAUUCAUUUGGUUGCCGUGGUUUUCACAUCCCCUGAAACCUGGGAGUUCAGCAGUGCUGGGCCCGUUUGAAGAAAACCUUUCUGACAGGAAGGCGAGUU